UAUUUAAAACCUAAUAUAACAAGUGAAACUGCGAGCUACUGCUCACUGAUGAUACCCCCGCCGCAAGUGGAUAAUAUUAAUAGUGUAAAAAUAUGCAAGUGUUCAGUAAACAGGAAGUUGUCAAGUGAUGAAUCUGAAAACGCAUCACACGGUAUAGCUGACUUAUAUAGAUCCUGAAACCAAAUUUCAGAAAUCCUUGUAUUGUAGUUCCUGAGAAAAAUGUGACGAAAAUUUUCAACUUGGCUAUCAUGUGUAAAAUUAC
RNAcentral lists this long non-coding RNA (262 nucleotides) under Mytilus galloprovincialis (Mediterranean mussel). Lineage: Eukaryota; Metazoa; Mollusca; Bivalvia; Mytilida; Mytilidae. The record is from RNAcentral.